AAACGAAAAGCGAAAUUAUCGCACUAAGUUUCGGCCUUAGCCUUGAGUAUAUUCUCUUCGUUUA
RNAcentral lists this transfer RNA (64 nucleotides) under Hydatina physis. RNAcentral's name for it is "tRNA-Arg". The record is from RNAcentral. Lineage: Eukaryota; Metazoa; Mollusca; Gastropoda; Aplustridae.